GUGCGCUGAACUUUGGGCCCCGCGGGAGCAGCAUGGUCUCCAUUCCACGGGAGCGGCUGGUGGCCGGCGUGGAGUACACCUUCAGCCUCACCGUGUGGAAGGCCGGCCGCAAGGAGGAGGCCACCAACCAGACGGUGGGUGCCGCCCACCCCUUGGCCACAUGCCUCGGACAGCCCAGCAUCCCCGCUCAUCUACUGUUUUCUGUAUUUUAGUGCUUGUGGAGGCCGUACGCUCUCCGCUUUCUGUUUUUGAUGCAAAUUCUAUUUAACACAACAGCCUGCUUCAGCUUUGCUUCCUUCCAAACCUGUCACAGUUCCAUAUACAGUCUUCAAGCCACAUAUGCUCUAGUGAUUGACAAAAGCUACACAGUC
RNAcentral lists this small RNA (371 nucleotides) under Pongo abelii (Sumatran orangutan). Its description in RNAcentral is "retained intron". Lineage: Eukaryota; Metazoa; Chordata; Mammalia; Primates; Hominidae. The record is from RNAcentral.